UUGAUAUUCCAGUUGUGAAGAGCUGUGACAAUCUGAGAUCGGAGUCAUGCGUCCUGUUGUGGUAACUGUCGUCCUGCUGGUGGUCCUGAUGUUCAUGACGGACUCUGCAGUCGCAGGAGAAAAAGAGAAGAAAAAUUGCCAGAACUAUUUCCCACUUGUACCAUGUGGUUCUGGAUGGUACCGGAUGGACGGAAGUCGCUGUAUGAAGAGAGCUCCGACCGCAGAAACGUUUGACGAUGCACAGAUGUUCUGCAAAAACAAAAGUGGUGAUUUGGUGUCAUUCAGGGGAAGAGACGACCUUAUCCAAAUGCUGUGUCUGUUGGUCAUGGAAAACAAUGACAAGGUUCCUCACUGGCUCGGAGCCAGAAAACAAGGGGGUGAAUUUCAGUGGGCUGAUGGACGUGGACCAUUGAUCUUCGGAGGCCAACACAACCUCCUGAAUGACCAGGCUGAGGACUGUGCAGCAAUCAACAUCGGUGGUCCCUGGAAAGGUACAUCAUGUUCAGCAACAAGGAACUUUGUGUGCCAAAAGACUAUGUGAUCGUCAUCUCCAGAUGAUGAACCAGCCUGCUUCACUGUAACCUCUGUGAAUGCAACCUUUAAUAUUGUUUGUAAUAAAUGUUCAGCAUCAGAAAACAUUUGAUUUGGUUUUUUUAUUUGUUUGUGUCCAGCAGAAUGACAGUUGUAGCCAUUGUACACGUACUGCAGACUGAGCCUGACAUACAGUAUAAUUACCUGAUUAGUUUCAUCUGGUUUCAUAGAUACAUACAGCUGGGUGUCGUCUGCAUAGCAAAGUAAAUCCAUGUGGUGCUUUCAGCUUUGGUUAGUUUUAUAAUGUCUCUAAUAACAGCAGGACAGAGACGACAGAACUGUGUUUAGUGUAGAUAUUGAUAAAGCAGAGGAACCAAGUCCUGCUGAAUUUAGGUAAAUUGUCAUUGUCUGUACUUUCUAUCCUGUUGUAAGAAACAGAGAUUUAACCGUGGUCCAUAAACUCUACACAUUCACCUAGCUGCUGAUAAAAUUCCCAAUUCAUAAUCCUGAUGUAAUGUGACAAAAUCAACAGAAACCUGGUUAAUAACAGCAGCUCUGCUGUGUGUUUGGAUAUAAUGACAUUUAAAAUGAAUGAUCACAGUGAUAGUUUAAGGUUGUUGGACAUUGUUCAGUUCAAUUCAAUUUAAUUUUAUUUGUAUAGCGCCAAAUCACAAGAUAUAUUUUCUCAAGGCACUUUACAAAGUGAGUUAUAUUACAGUUACAAUAUUACAGAGAAAACAAAACAAAUCCAAGUUAAAUGUCAGUUGUCCUCGUACAAACUGAAACACUGAGCUGGAGCUUUAACAUCUUCACAAUCUGGAGGUCGUUUUCACUGUUCACAGUUUGAUUCUGGCUCCGAUCCCGUGUUUGAUUGGAUGGCAACUAGACACAUCAAUUUGUCAGAGUCCACUUUUAUAUCUGUUCAUGACAUUUUCUGGAGGGGUGGGGCUUGACACAAAGUUGGUUGCAGUUUGCAACUUUACCACCAGAGGCCGCCAGAAAAAAAUACAAUAUUUACACACUUGCGCUUUAACUGAUAUGGAAAAUGUGAUUUUUUUUUUUUUAAGACAGUUUAAAAAAUGAAGCUAAACUAAACAUGACUUAAACUUAGUAGUUUAUUUUUAUCAGGCUUGUAUUAUCACAUCAAUUAAAUUUUUUUAAACAAUUGUGGCAUUUCAUGACUGGGUCUGACCCUAGGAUCAACUCAUUUUAUUUAUAUUAAAUAUAGCACUGAAUCAUAACCUCAGAGCCCAGAGAUCUACAACAAGAGCAACUUCACAAAAUAUUAGUAAAAAAGUCAUAAAUGUCCAAAAAGUCAAACAGCAAGCUUUGCUUGGGAAGUUUCCUAAAUCUUGAAAUGACCCGGAAGUAUUUCCUCAGCACCAUGAUAAGAGCUGUUCGCAUAAUCUAAAUGCUUAGGAAAGGUGCUUCAAUGCUUCCUUUCCUAUCUCCUUUAGCAUAGGGUAUAUUGGAGCUUCCUACUACGUGACGCGCCAUGCACGAAUGUAAACGAUUAAAUCCGAAGUAGUAGAAGAAGAAGAGGAGUAUGAAUAUGACCCAUAAGAGACGUCAUCAUGGUAUUUACUGUUACGUAUGAAUCAUUUACAUCUGAUGUCACAAGGUGGUAAAACAGUAUAACAUGCUGAUGGAGUCGCUGAGUUUUUUUUUCAGAAAUGUGUAGUUUCACCACGGCAGAACCAUCAACAACAUCCACCUUCACAUAAUGAUGUAGUUUAGUGUCAGUGGAGUCGCAUUCUCUGAGCAGCGCUGUCGGCUUUUUCUAAGUCCCAUGAAUCCUCCUUUACACCUUUCCUUGACCUCAUGACGUUUUCCAUUGAGGACAAGGAAUAGUGGAUCCUUCUAGGUCAUUUCACUCAGUCAGGAAUCUUCCAAAGCAAAUUUGACAAUUUGACCACAACCUAGGUUUUGUAAAGUCUCAGGGCGACACGGUGGUGCAGUUCUUUGCGCUGUCGCCUAAAGGAAGAAGGUUCUCGGUCUCAAAACACUGUUUGAACCACCCAGUGUGGAGUAUGCCAGUUCACCGAGUGUCUGCUGGGGGUUCUCUCCUCGGGUUCUCCGGCUUCCUCCCACAGUCCAGACACAUGCAGAUUGGGGUAUUAGGUUGAUUGGAGACUCUAAAUUGACCAUAGGUUGGUUGUCUCUGAAUGUCGGCCCUGUGAUAGGUUUGGCGAGCUGUCCAGGGCGAACAACGCCUCUCGACCGUUGAAGGAUGAAGCCAUAUAGAUGAUGGAUGGAUGAAAAGCAUCAGAGCUGUUGGCAGAUUCCAUCUCCUCUGUUGCUGCUGAUGUUACAGGCAGUUUUCAUUGACGGGGCAAACUCCUGAGAUCUCAAUCAUUACAUACAAAAUGAACGUGGUGUGAUUCAAGGUAUAACUCAGGGGAUUUUUUUAUCAAUAACAAUAUUCGUUCUUUUUUGAUUUCAUGUGUGAAAGUUGGAAAAUAAUUAUCAUGGACAGAAAUUCCACAGAUACUUAACGCCUGUUUACCGGAGAGACAGUUGAAUCAACUUUGAGGAAAAAUUGAAAAUUCUGCCCAGCAGCAUCCUGUGUCCUGGUUUCUCAGGGAAUAUUUGGAUAGAUUAGCAUCUUCUUAACCUCAGUAUUUUAAUCUCAUGUUUUCACAUUCAAAUGCUUCUCAGCAAAUAUUUGGGUUUCCAUGAAAUGAUCUAUUAUUUCAGAGAGAAUUACUUAAUUAAUUAUUUGUUUGAAAUGCACUGGGAAAACGACAUGGUUCAGCUCCCGAGGGAAUCAUCACCCUGGGUUCUAACUGUGGCCUGAGAAAGUGGCAAAUUCUCGUCCAAUGAGCUCCUGAGUUUUAAUGUAACACUUGCUAAGCUUUGAACAGUGAAAUCAACAUGUAUUCAGGGCAUCAGAAGUGAACAUUUAAGAGUCAGAGAUCAGACGACCAGACGGAGGUGGAACGAGGAACAACACCAACACGUCUGAGGUGAGUUCUCUUCUGGAAAAAAGAUCAAUUUGAUCCAAGUUCUGGGGGAGAAAACUAUUUUAUUUCACCUAUCACAGGUGUUAUUGACAAGUUAUACAAACAUCAUUCACACACA
Molecule: long non-coding RNA, 3612 nt
Filed under: Scophthalmus maximus (turbot)
Lineage: Eukaryota; Metazoa; Chordata; Actinopteri; Pleuronectiformes; Scophthalmidae
Description: lncRNA (ENSSMAG00000029823.1)
Source: RNAcentral